This 71-nucleotide transfer RNA is filed under the name Marmota monax (woodchuck). RNAcentral's name for it is "tRNA.Ala". The record is from RNAcentral. Lineage: Eukaryota; Metazoa; Chordata; Mammalia; Rodentia; Sciuridae.
GGGGAUGUAGCUCAGUGGUACAGUGCUUGCCUAGCACAUAUGAGGCACUGGGUUCAAUCCUCAGCACCACA